This 417-nucleotide ribosomal RNA is filed under the name uncultured bacterium. RNAcentral describes it as "bacterial SSU rRNA". It matches the Rfam family "Bacterial small subunit ribosomal RNA", at positions 362 to 776 of the family's 1533-position model. The record is from RNAcentral.
UAUUGGUCAAUGGACGAGAGUCUGAACCAGCCAAGUAGCGUGAAGGAUGACUGCCCUAUGGGUUGUAAACUUCUUUUAUAUGGGAAUAAAACAGGGUAUGCAUACCCUCUUGUAUGUACCAUAUGAAUAAGGAACGGCUAACUCCGUGCCAGCAGCCGCGGUAAUACGGAGGAUCCGAGCGUUAUCCGGAUUUAUUGGGUUUAAAGGGAGCGUAGGUGGACAGUUAAGUCAGUUGUGAAAGUUUGCGGCUCAACCGUAAAAUUGCAGUUGAUACUGGCAUCCUUGAGUACAGUAGAGGUAGGCGGAAUUCGUGGUGUAGCGGUGAAAUGCUUAGAUAUCACGAAGAACUCCGAUUGCGAAGGCAGCCUGCUGGACUGUAACUGACGCUGAUGCUCGAAAGUGUGGGUAUCAAACAGG